This 1068-nucleotide long non-coding RNA is filed under the name Homo sapiens (human). RNAcentral describes it as "HSALNT0246650". The record is from RNAcentral. Lineage: Eukaryota; Metazoa; Chordata; Mammalia; Primates; Hominidae.
UCAGAGGCUCAGGUCAGAGGGCAAAGAUGUCCACUGAAGCGGCUCCAGAAUCCCUCAAGGAAGGUGACAUCCGCUUCGCUUCCUCCUCCAGCCCCACCUUCGCUUCCGGGACCACAGAGCCCCUGGAGCCUGCACGCCACGGAGUCUCCCACUGAGGAGUGAGGAGGCCUCUUGUGGGGACAGAUCUGGAAUGAGUGGCAUCCAAACCUGACUCAUAUUUCCAACUUUAUUAAUUUUUGCAAGACUUCGGAGGGUGCUCUGUGGCGAUUAAUAUUGCUGAGCUGAGCACAGCUGCAGUACUUUCCUGUAAAACUGACUAAAGGAGAAGUUGGUGUCUUCCUCAUACAAGAAAUACAUAAAUCAGUUAAAAAUAGUUCUCCGAGCGGAUAUGAUGAUGUCGUGGCCGUCACAGGAAACACAUGAAUCAGCCUCAUCCUCAGUUCCAGGGAAGUGGGGACAGUCGGUGGUCCUUGGACCCCUCUUGGGGCGCGUGGGUGAGGCAGGGUCCCUCUGGCUUUACCUCAUACCCGGACUGGCAAAGCUGCCUGGGAGGACAACUAAAACCAUGCUCCUUUGAUUCUGUGGACAUUGCUAAUUGCUGGGCGUUCAUUUCUUGAAUUCAGACCUUCUCAUGAACCAGAGGAGCUGGCUCAGAAAAAUGCCGGUGACGCAUGGGCCUGAACUGGUCAGUGCAGCUCAGAGAUGCUCGCCGUGGGGGACGUGCAGUUUGCCUGUGGGCCAGUUGUCCACCCGUCACCGUUACCCCGCUGAGGAAGCUGUGGGUGCCACCCAGAGAGCUUGGGUACAACACGGUCUCUGCUUUACUCAUAAAAAGCCAAGACCUAUGUGGUCAUGGAGCGUUAAAACAGAAAUUUCACACCACGCCGUACGGUCCCCGAGGCCAGGGUGUUGGCACAUUUCACAUCCAGGAGGUGCCGUCGCUGUCACUGGCUCAGCAAAGCCAGUGCCGAAGCCACUGCAACUGCCUGAGGCCCAGCGGUGGCUGGGAGCCAAUUGGUGUCACUCGGUUACCACAGGGAAGGAGACGUGGCUGUAGAGGCUUGUCGC